RNAcentral lists this ribosomal RNA (301 nucleotides) under uncultured bacterium. RNAcentral describes it as "partial 16S ribosomal RNA". It matches the Rfam family "Bacterial small subunit ribosomal RNA", at positions 509 to 807 of the family's 1533-position model. The record is from RNAcentral.
CAGUAGCCACGGUAAUACGGAGGGUGCAAGCGUUAAUCGGAAUUACUGGGCGUAAAGCGCACGCAGGCGGUCUGACAAGUCAGAUGUGAAAUCCCCGGGCUUAACCUGGGAACUGCAUUUGAAACUGUCAGGCUGGAGUCUUGUAGAGGGGGGUGGAAUUCCAGGUGUAGCGGUGAAAUGCGUAGAGAUCUGGAGGAAUACCGGUGGCGAAGGCGGCCCCCUGGACAAAGACUGACGCUCAGGUGCGAAAGCGUGGGGAGCAAACAGGAUUAGAUACCCGGGUAGUCCCUGUCUCUUAUAC